CCCAUUGAUGCCAGCCAUGGUCAACUUGCCUCCACAAAUGACAUUCUCUCAGUACCACCUGACCAGCAAUGCAAGAACUUUGCCAAGAAUGUUGUAAAGAAAUUUCCAUUUUCACAGGCAGUUACCUACCUAGAAAUGUUGCUGAGAUUGGAUGAAACUCUACACGUAAGCACAGUGGUGUGCCCCUGAAUUGCUAUUCCCGUCCUAUUAAUUAUGAC
Carcharodon carcharias (great white shark) is the source of this 218-nucleotide long non-coding RNA. RefSeq lists it as uncharacterized. The transcript has 3 exons. Lineage: Eukaryota; Metazoa; Chordata; Chondrichthyes; Lamniformes; Lamnidae. The record is from RefSeq and is a predicted model, not a curated record.